AACGAACGCUGGCGGCAUGCCUAACACAUGCAAGUCGAACGAGACCUUCGGGUCUAGUGGCGCACGGGUGCGUAACGCGUGGGAACCUGCCCUUAGGUUCGGAAUAACUCCCCGAAAGGGGUGCUAAUACCGGAUAAUGUCUUCGGACCAAAGAUUUAUCGCCUUUGGAUGGGCCCGCGUUGGAUUAGCUAGUUGGUAGGGUAAAAGCCUACCAAGGCGACGAUCCAUAGCUGGUCUGAGAGGAUGAUCAGCCACACUAGGACUGAGACACGGCCCAGACUCCUACGGGACGCAGCAGUGGGGAAUAUUGGACAAUGGGCGAAAGCCUGAUCCAGCAAUGCCGCGUGAGUGAUGAAGGCCUUAGGGUUGUAAAGCUCUUUUACCCGGGAUGAUAAUGACAGUACCGGGAGAAUAAGCUCCGGCUAACUCCGUG
This 433-nucleotide ribosomal RNA is filed under the name uncultured bacterium. RNAcentral describes it as "partial 16S ribosomal RNA". It matches the Rfam family "Bacterial small subunit ribosomal RNA", at positions 29 to 507 of the family's 1533-position model. The record is from RNAcentral.